Molecule: small nuclear RNA, 144 nt
Filed under: Aotus nancymaae (Ma's night monkey)
Lineage: Eukaryota; Metazoa; Chordata; Mammalia; Primates; Aotidae
Description: U4 spliceosomal RNA (ENSANAG00000002885.1)
Rfam family: U4 spliceosomal RNA
About the family: U4 small nuclear RNA (U4 snRNA) is a component of the major U2-dependent spliceosome. The structure of U4 snRNA from yeast and human has been reported.
Source: Rfam by way of RNAcentral
AGCUUUGCACAGUGGCAGUAUUGUAGCCAAUGAGGUUUAUCCAAGGCACUAUUAUUGCUGAUUGAAAACUUUUCCCAGUACCCUGCCAUGAUGAGUUGAAAUAUAGUCGGCAUUGGCAAUUUUUGACCAAUGCCAAAAAUUUGG